Molecule: ribosomal RNA, 497 nt
Filed under: uncultured bacterium
Lineage: Bacteria
Description: partial 16S ribosomal RNA
Rfam family: Bacterial small subunit ribosomal RNA
Source: RNAcentral
GAUGAACGCUGGCGGCGUGCCUAAUACAUGCGAGUCGAGCGAACGGACGAGAAGCUUGCUUCUCUGAUGUUAGCGGCGGACGGGUGAGUAACACGUGGAUAACCUACCUAUAAGACUGGGAUAACUUCGGGAAACCGGAGCUAAUACCGGAUAAUAUUUUGAACCGCAUGGUUCAAAAGUGAAAGACGGUCUUGCUGUCACUUAUAGAUGGAUCCGCGCCGCAUUAGCUAGUUGGUAAGGUAACGGCUUACCAAGGCAACGAUGCAUAGCCGACCUGAGAGGGUGAUCGGCCACACUGGAACUGAGACACGGUCCAGACUCCUACGGGAGGCAGCAGUAGGGAAUCUUCCGCAAUGGGCGAAAGCCUGACGGAGCAACGCCGCGUGAGUGAUGAAGGUCUUCGGAUCGUAAAACUCUGUUAUUAGGGAAGAACAUAUGUGUAAGUAGCUGUGCACAUCUUGACGGUACCUAAUCAGAAAGCCACGGCUAACUACGUG